Molecule: long non-coding RNA, 341 nt
Filed under: Lactuca sativa (garden lettuce)
Lineage: Eukaryota; Viridiplantae; Streptophyta; Magnoliopsida; Asterales; Asteraceae
Description: long non-coding RNA (LSAT_LNC005346)
Source: RNAcentral
ACAUUUACAAAAUCCUUGAUAACAAUAUUCAACUAAAUGAGGUGGACAAAGACCAAGACAAUCUCCUCUCCAUAUACAUGGACGUUCCAUAUUUGAGCCUUGAAGUUUUGCUCCAACAUUAACAACAUCCAUUUCAGCCAAUACUGUAAUUAAGAAAAAGAACAAAAUAUUGUUAAGUGCAAUUCAUAAGAUUUCAAACCUUAUAAGGAAUAAAAUAUGCCAAAAUUUCAUAUCAAGGACAAAGAUGAAGAAUAACCGUAGGUACUCAGCAUCAAAAAGGCAUAAAACGAAAAUUUAAUCAAAAGAUUCAUGGUAUCGUGGUAUGGUAACUUUGAGAGAGC